GACCACUGCACCCUGUUUGUCAGGAACCGUUUCAGAGUAUCGAACAUUUGGUUUCUCUAGUGCAUAUGAUUCCCAUUGGCCACUGCGUACGAUGUUUGCACACAGAACGAUGGGCCGUGCAUUGGGUUCUGCCACAGCAGACUGCCGCAGAGUGACAUAGAUCGUGACUGAUGUCUCGUAAACAUAGCACCCCUCCCCCGAUCAUGAAACAGCCUAUCCUCAUGAACAAUUCAUCGCCUCACUCGCGUCAUGGAUCUUGUUCCGUCUGUCUGUGCAAAGCUGGCUGUUGCCUUAUGCCUGAGUACGUAGUCGUGGAGAGCCGUGUCGGGCCAAUAGCUGGGAGGUUUGCGCGUUGUCAUUUCCAUACAUAGUGGAAUGCAUGCCCGGAAAACAUCCAUCCCUCUGGCGCUGAUCCUUUUUCAAGAGGAGGUGUCUGGAAAAAAAAAAAGAAGGGACAAUACUGAUCACGACAGGGAAGACUUUGUUCUGUUGCAGCAGAGUAAAUAAAACCUUUGACCUGAAUCGCUUUAAGAUAUCUUUUAAUUGUUGCAUAAUAUAAUGUUCAACUAGGACGAGUAUACAUUGCAAUAUGUUUAACUUUUUUAUUACCAUCGAUUACAUACUCACUCAUAAGACCGUCCAGUACACUCUCUCUCUCUCUCUCUCUCUCUCUCUCUCUCUCUCUCUCUCUCUCUCUCUCUCUCUCUCUCUCUCUCUCUCUCAAAUAUAUUAUAAAAUAAGGUAUUCAUCGUGCCAUGAGUUUCAGAGACCAUAUCUCUGAAAAAAAUAUUUCCUUACUGCGAAGGCUGUUUGAAAUGUAUAUGGAAAAUAAAUAAAUAAACGUACAAUAGCGGCCAUUCUUCAUUUUCCCACAUCGCCAACGACCCGCACCCAUCAGGCACCUAAA
This is a long non-coding RNA of Scylla paramamosain (green mud crab), 907 nucleotides long. RefSeq lists it as uncharacterized. Lineage: Eukaryota; Metazoa; Arthropoda; Malacostraca; Decapoda; Portunidae. The transcript has 3 exons. The record is from RefSeq and is a predicted model, not a curated record.